This 458-nucleotide ribosomal RNA is filed under the name Capnocytophaga gingivalis. Its description in RNAcentral is "bacterial SSU rRNA". It matches the Rfam family "Bacterial small subunit ribosomal RNA", at positions 28 to 489 of the family's 1533-position model. The record is from RNAcentral. Lineage: Bacteria; Pseudomonadati; Bacteroidota; Flavobacteriia; Flavobacteriales; Flavobacteriaceae.
GAUGAACGCUAGCGCCAGGCCUAACACAUGCAGUCGAGGGAGAACCCUUUCGGGGGCAGAAACCGGCGCACGGGUGCGUAACGCGUAUGCAACCUACCUUUCACAGGGGGAUAGCCCGAAGAAAUUUGGAUUAUACCCCAUAAUAUUGUUGGAUGGCAUCAUCUGGCAAUUAAAGCUACGACGGUGGAAGAUGGGCAUGCGUCCUAUUAGCUAGUUGGAGUGGUAACGGCACCCCAAGGCUACGAUAGGUAGGGGUCCUGAGAGGGAGAUCCCCCACACUGGUACUGAGACAGGGACCAGACUCCUACGGGAGGCAGCAGUGAGGAAUAUUGGUCAAUGGUCGGAAGACUGAACCAGCCAUGCCGCGUGCAGGAAGAAUGCCUUAUGGGUUGUAAACUGCUUUUAUAUGGGAAGAAUAAGGCGUACGUGUAACGUUGAUGACGGUACCAUAUGAAUAG